GCACAAGCGGUGGAGCAUGUGGUUUAAUUCGACGCAACGCGCAGAACCUUACCAGCCCUUGACAUGUCCGGGACCGGUCGCAGAGAUGUGACCUUCUCUUCGGAGCCCGGAACACAGGUGCUGCAUGGCUGUCGUCAGCUCGUGUCGUGAGAUGUUGGGUUAAGUCCCGCAACGAGCGCAACCCCCGUCCUUAGUUGCUACCAUUUAGUUGAGCACUCUAAGGAGACUGCCGGUGAUAAGCCGCGAGGAAGGUGGGGAUGACGUCAAGUCCUCAUGGCCCUUACGGGCUGGGCUACACACGUGCUACAAUGGCGGUGACAAUGGGAUGCAAAGGCGCGAGCCCUAGCAAAUCUCAAAAAGCCGUCUCAGUUCGGAUUGGGCUCUGCAACUCGAGCCCAUGAAGUUGGAAUCGCUAGUAAUCGUGGAUCAGCACGCCACGGUGAAUACGUUCCCGGGC
Molecule: ribosomal RNA, 457 nt
Filed under: uncultured bacterium
Lineage: Bacteria
Description: bacterial SSU rRNA
Rfam family: Bacterial small subunit ribosomal RNA
Source: RNAcentral